Molecule: unclassified non-coding RNA, 155 nt
Filed under: fungal sp.
Lineage: Eukaryota; Fungi
Description: partial internal transcribed spacer region
Rfam family: Eukaryotic small subunit ribosomal RNA (bases 1-46)
Source: RNAcentral
AAGUCGUAACAAGGUUUCCGUAGGUGAACCUGCGGAAGGAUCAAUACGAAGAGGUUGAGGGAGGGAGAUUUGUUGAAAGAGAGAUAUAGACAAUGUUUUUACAAUUUACAACACUAUCACACACACAACUCAUAACAAUGGAUCUCUGGGCUCUU